This 250-nucleotide ribosomal RNA is filed under the name uncultured prokaryote. Its description in RNAcentral is "partial 16S ribosomal RNA". It matches the Rfam family "Bacterial small subunit ribosomal RNA", at positions 524 to 773 of the family's 1533-position model. The record is from RNAcentral.
UACGUAGGGAGCAAGCGUUAUCCGGAUUUAUUGGGUGUAAAGGGUGCGUAGACGGGAAAUUAAGUUGGUUGUGAAAUCCCUCGGCUUAACUGAGGAACUGCAACCAAAACUGAUUUUCUUGAGUGUUGGAGAGGAAAGUGGAAUUCCUAGUGUAGCGGUGAAAUGCGUAGAUAUUAGGAAGAACACCGGUGGCGAAGGCGACUUUCUGGACAAUAACUGACGUUGAGGCACGAAAGUGUGGGGAGCAAAC